This 557-nucleotide ribosomal RNA is filed under the name uncultured euryarchaeote. Its description in RNAcentral is "bacterial SSU rRNA". It matches the Rfam family "Archaeal small subunit ribosomal RNA", at positions 356 to 918 of the family's 1478-position model. Lineage: Archaea; Methanobacteriati; Methanobacteriota. The record is from RNAcentral.
UGCGCGAAAGCGUGAUAAGGGGAUCCUAAGUGUCAUAGUUUUACUAUGACUGUGGCAGAGUGUAAAAUACUCUGCWAGAAAGGGGUGGGUAAUACGGGUGCCAGCAGCCGCGGUAAUCCCCGAGCCCCGAGUGGUAGCCGCGUUUAUUGGGUCUAAAGCAUCCGCAGCCGGAUUARUAAGUUCUCGGUGAAAUCSUUUAGCCUAACUAAACGAAUUGCCUUGAAUACUGCUAGUCUAGGGAUUGGGUGAAGUCAAGGGUAUGCUUGGGGGAGGGGUAAAAUCCUUUAAUCCUAAKUAGACCACCAGUGGCRAAKGCGCUUGACUAGAACARCUCCGACGGUCAGGGAUGAAAGCUAGGGGAGCAAACGGRAUUAGAUACCCCGGUAGUCCUAGCUGUAAACACUGCCCACUGGGUAUUACACAUUCCUCGUGUCUGUGUAGUGCCGUAGUGAAGACGUUAAUUGGGCCACCUGGGGAGUACGGUCGCAAGACUGAAACUUAAAGGAAUUGACGGGGGGGAACCAAAAUUGAACUUAAGGAAUUGGCGGGGGAAGCAC